GGGGCUGACUGGCUUUGACAGCGCGUAGAGGUGGUGUGUAAGCAUGCAGAGCAAUGAUGGCUACGCUCUAUAAUAUGGGACAUCAAAAUUUCAAAUGGCGAAAACAACUACGCUCUUGCUGCUUAAUUGAAGUAUAGUAGAUUAGCUUAAUCUUCGCAACAGUUGCGAAGACAAGACAUCGCUCGAUUGUCGUCGUCCCGAGACUAAUCGGUCAAGCGGUGCAGGUAAAUCGGGAAUAGGGAGCUGAUAGCCUCGGGAGGCUCCCGAAAAUUUAGAGGAUAAGGCUGUGGUUGGUAGUCUUUAGCCUGCUGCAGCACGAAAACCAAGUAAAGACUAAGCAUGUAGAAAGCGCAUUAGUUCCGCGUUUGGACGAGGGUUCGACUCCCUCCAGCUCCACUU
RNAcentral lists this transfer-messenger RNA (399 nucleotides) under Muribaculaceae. RNAcentral describes it as "Paramuribaculum sp001689565 Standard tmRNA". It matches the Rfam family "transfer-messenger RNA". From Rfam's summary of the family: Bacterial tmRNA, also known as 10Sa RNA or SsrA, is named for its dual tRNA and mRNA-like properties. RNAcentral also lists the same sequence under 1 other name. Lineage: Bacteria; Pseudomonadati; Bacteroidota; Bacteroidia; Bacteroidales. The record is from RNAcentral.